UCCCAUUCCGAACAGAGAAGUUAAGACCGCUUGCGCCGAUGGUACUGCAUUUCGUGGGAGAGUAGGUCGCCGCCUUUU
RNAcentral lists this ribosomal RNA (78 nucleotides) under Bacteroidales bacterium. Lineage: Bacteria; Pseudomonadati; Bacteroidota; Bacteroidia; Bacteroidales. The record is from RNAcentral.